UUUCUUACCCGACUUCCUCUCUGUUUGGGCGUGUGGUUCCUAUUUUUCUCCCCCAAAUCUCUCCCUUUUCUUUCAGUUAUCUCUCACCAGUUUUUGCUCUCAACUUCUUGGCAAAACCGUGCUUAUCUCCCUCUUGCACAGCUUCUCCUCUGGUGACCUCUAGGUGCUGCAAUUUUGGAGUUUUUCAGACCUGUUUUCGUGCUCAAAGCCACCCCCAAGCCGGCAUUUCUUUUUCCCUCUAGAUCUCUCCUCUCUCUCGCUUUCUUUUCUGGAUAAUUAUUUACUUUUUUCUUCUUCUUCUUUUCUUUUCUUUCUUUCUUCUUCUUACUGGUAGAUUUUCUUUCAAUUUCAGAUGUUCCUCUCCCUCUUUUGCGUCGUUUCCUCUUCCACUCAGUUUCUAUUUUUUCUUUGUAAUUUUUCUGCAAAGUUAUUUUUUUUCUAUUGCAACCCGUGCUUCUACUUUGUUUUGCUUGAGGUUUUAGUGUUACAAUUUGAAUAGAUUUUCAACAGUGUCACUUGUUUUUGUUUGGAUAUAAAUAGUAAAAAAUAUCAAUACGUGCGGAGUAAAAUUUAAGAAGAUUUGACCAUUUUAUUUUGUAGAGUUGUGGACAGAGAAAGGUUGAUGUGGUUAUUAUUUAUUUGGUUGAGUUGGUGGUUGUUUGAGUUUUGGAUUGCAGUAUUGGUGUUAAUAUUUCUAUUAAUUGAGUUUGAUGUUGGUUGAUGGGUAUAUAGGUUAGUAUUGAAGUGGGUAUAUGGUAGAUUAAGUUGAAGUGUAUGCUGUUCGGGAAUUAUUAUGUGGUUGUUUGGUUUGUAUUAAUGUCCUAAUAUUUGAUGUGGAAUUAUGGAUUUUAAUUAAUUAGAUCGAAGUGACGAUUGUAGGUCUUUAACACUUAGUGUAUAUUUAUUUUUAUGAAUAGGUGACGAGGCUAAUAGAGGUCAAAUUCAAGGCAUUGACAAUACACUACAGGAAUCAGGUUCACGUGAUAUAUUUGGUACCAACAUGAUAUGAUAUGAGUGCAACUACUUUGGAAACAAAGUGGUCUUUAUGUGUUCUUUCGUGUGUACACACUCGGGGCUCCGAGAUUGAAAAAGGAAAAAUUUCACAAUAUGAUACUGCCUGAUAAUAUGGAUGGCACAACUAAGGAUCAAUAAUAGAUAUUUGUGAAUGUGAAUGUGGAUGGUUCAGAUGAUGGGAAUAGAGUGUUGGAUUCUUUAGGCUAGUGUUAAUAGAAGGACUUUCUGUUGUUCCUUAGAGCUGUUAUUGUUUCUAGACUUAGUAAGACUUAAGGAUUUUUUUUUUCUUUCCGGUUGUUUUGUUGGGACUAAGGAGAAAUUGUGGACCUUUUGAUUUAUGUUAUUCAUUGAAAUGACUAUAUGGACAUCAUUAAGUGUUAGUUGUGAAAAAUAUGAUACUGUUUAUUA
Molecule: long non-coding RNA, 1422 nt
Organism: Carya illinoinensis
Lineage: Eukaryota; Viridiplantae; Streptophyta; Magnoliopsida; Fagales; Juglandaceae
Exons: 3
Source: RefSeq, a predicted model, not a curated record